Molecule: ribosomal RNA, 474 nt
Filed under: Triticum aestivum (bread wheat)
Lineage: Eukaryota; Viridiplantae; Streptophyta; Magnoliopsida; Poales; Poaceae
Description: partial small subunit ribosomal RNA
Source: RNAcentral
AUGUUUUCAGAAUAUAUAAAAAAUACUGAGCGCAAGAAGUUCACCAGGAGAGCCACACCUUGCCCACAAGGGUGGGGGCGCGCCCUACCCCCCUGGGCGCGCCGCCUACCUCGUGGGCCCCCUGGUGGCCCUCCGAUGGCCAUGUUUUGCUAUAUGGAGUCUUUUGAUGAGAAAAAAAUCAUAAGCCAUCUCCUCGGACGAAACUCCGGCGCCACGAGGAGGAACCUUGGCGGAUCCAAUCUAGGGCUUCGACAGAGCUGUUCUGCCGGGGAAACUUCCCUCCGAGAGGGGGAAAUAAUCACCAUCGUCAUCACCAACGCUCAUCUCAUCGGGAGAGGGAAAUCUCCAUCAACAUCUUCACCAGCACCAUCUCCUCUCAAAACCCUAGUUCAUCUCUUGUAUCCAAUUCUUGUCUUCAAGUCCGGGAUUGGUACUAGUAGGUUGCUAGUAGUGUUAAUUACUCCUUGUGGUUGA